AUACGGAAGGUCCGGGCGUUAUCCGGAUUUAUUGGGUUUAAAGGGAGCGCAGGCGGAGAUGCAAGCGUGACGUCAAAUUUCGGGGCUCAACCCCGUCUCGCGUCGCGAACUGCGUCCCUUGGUUGCGGGAAGGGGAGGCGGAACUCGUGGGGGAGCGGGUAAAUGCAUAGAUAUCACGAAGAACUCCGAUCGCGAAGGCAGCCUUCCGGCCCGUCAACGACGCUCAUGCUCGAAGGUGCGGGUAUCAAACAGGAUUAGAUACCCUGGUAGUCCGCACAGUAAACGAUGGACACCCGCGGUUUGGCCUGUAUGGCUGAGCCGCCAAGCGAAAGCGUUAAGUGUCCCACCUGGGGAGUACGCCGGCAACGGUGAAACUCAAAUGAAUUGACGGGG
Molecule: ribosomal RNA, 393 nt
Filed under: uncultured bacterium
Lineage: Bacteria
Description: partial 16S ribosomal RNA
Rfam family: Bacterial small subunit ribosomal RNA
Source: RNAcentral